Molecule: long non-coding RNA, 671 nt
Organism: Oxyura jamaicensis (ruddy duck)
Lineage: Eukaryota; Metazoa; Chordata; Aves; Anseriformes; Anatidae
Exons: 2
Source: RefSeq, a predicted model, not a curated record
ACGGGGAGGCAGGGAAGCGCACCCCACAGCGUGCGUGUGGCUCGCCGUAACCAUUCCAGGCUCUGCGCACACCCUAGCAGCUGUCUCCUUUUCUAUUACUCAUUUGCCAUUCUGAGAACACGAGCUGCAAAGGAAGCAGCAUCAUUUUUGCUAACACAGAAGGUCAGGGGAUGGGAAGAAUUCACUUCUCGGAGCUCCGGCAGGAUAAACGGGCAGAUUUAUGGCACAGACGACGAUCUAACAUGUGUUUCUGAACAGGGACCCUUGAAAUCCUCUCCCCUUGUUCCAAAUUGGCUCUGCUGAACCAAGACUUUGAUCCACGGUCAGACUCCCCGACCUCCUGUCCUGUGCAGGGGAGAAGCAGAAGGAAAGAAAUGGAAAAAUGGGAGCAGAGAGGGGUGAAGGGGUGGGAAAGGGAAAGAAGAGGGCAAGAGGUGACCAGGUGUGCAUGGGGGGUCAGCAUGGUGAUGCACGGAGCUCUCUGGCUAAAAGCUUCCUGGGUACGGCCUGUUGGGAGGCUGCGUUCCUGCAAAUUAACCUCUACUGAUAUAAUUCACCCUGCAAGCACUCUUGUGCCGAAAUUGAGGCGUGCUGACAAUAUUAAGCCGCGCAGUAAAUGCAAGUAAGAGUUAUUAAACUAACAAAUAGAUAAAUUAGCAUAAGGGCUGCCU